GAUGAACGCUGGCGGCGUGCCUAAUACAUGCAAGUCGAGCGAACAGACGAGGAGCUUGCUCCUCUGACGUUAGCGGCGGACGGGUGAGUAACACGUGGAUAACCUACCUAUAAGACUGGGAUAACUUCGGGAAACCGGAGCUAAUACCGGAUAAUAUAUUGAACCGCAUGGUUCAAUAGUGAAAGACGGUUUUGCUGUCACUUAUAGAUGGAUCCGCGCCGCAUUAGCUAGUUGGUAAGGUAACAGCUUACCAAGGCAACGAUGCGUAGCCGACCUGAGAGGGUGAUCGGCCACACUGGAACUGAGACACGGUCCAGACUCCUACGGGAGGCAGCAGUAGGGAAUCUUCCGCAAUGGGCGAAAGCCUGACGGAGCAACGCCGCGUGAGUGACGAAGGUCUUCGGAUCGUAAAACUCUGUUAUUAGGGAAGAACAAAUGUGUAAGUAACUAUGCACGUCUUGACGGUACCUAAUCAGAAAGCCACGGCUAACUACGUG
This 497-nucleotide ribosomal RNA is filed under the name uncultured bacterium. RNAcentral's name for it is "partial 16S ribosomal RNA". It matches the Rfam family "Bacterial small subunit ribosomal RNA", at positions 28 to 507 of the family's 1533-position model. The record is from RNAcentral.